This 687-nucleotide long non-coding RNA is filed under the name Salvia miltiorrhiza (redroot sage). Its description in RNAcentral is "long non-coding RNA (SMIL_LNC013713)". The record is from RNAcentral. Lineage: Eukaryota; Viridiplantae; Streptophyta; Magnoliopsida; Lamiales; Lamiaceae.
ACUAUUUCAAUUGUGAAUUCACAACCAACGCUGAUAAUUCAGUUGUGAAUUCAUAAACCUGGUUGUGAAUUCAAGAACAUUUGUACAAAAUUGCGCGGUUUUCAUCAAUUUCUUCGUUGCUUAUAUGUUUUUUCGAUUACGUUCAAUUGAAUUAGGGAGAAAUUUAUCCAAUCUGCAGAAAUUCAUUCCAAUCAUUCUCAUCGGCAUCAAAAUUCAUCCCUUAAUUCAAAAUUCAUUCUAGAACAAAGCUUCAUCAAAAUUCAAACAUGAGGAGAUUUGCAGUGAUGGAGAGGAGCAGAGAUUUACGAAGAGAGAGAGAAAGAGAGAGAGAGAGAGAGAUGCGAUGCAAUUUUCAGAGAGGGAAGAGUGGGAAUAGGGCAGCGGUACCCCAGCGAAACCAGCGGCGGAGGCAUCGGACCUUCGCGGUCCAAGGUGGCGGUGGCAGAACAGAUCGAGAGAGAGAGAAGAUCUGCGAUGAGAGAGAGAGAGAUCGGACCUUCGUUGGUACAAGGCGGCGUCCCCGCGGGUGAAGAGACGCGACACGGCUGCGCGCUCCUCUGUUCACGGCGCUCCAAUUUGGAAGGAUUGGAGGCGAGAGAGAGAGAGAAAGGAAGAGGGGGAGAGAGGGAGGCUCUGUAUCAAAAAAAGAGAAGAGAGAGAGAGAGAAAAGAGGAGAGAGAGAGAGAG